UUUAAUUAUUAUCUUUAAUGACAAAAAUUUCUAUUAAUUAAAAUUUCAAUUCGAUUACACAAUCUAGUCCCACCUAUAAAUAAGCUCUCACAAAUGAAACAAUUAUCUGACCAACAUAUGAAACCAAAGUCUUCGCCAUCACAAGACUAUUUAUUUUUUCAGCCUUCUACAUUUAAUGACAAUAAUUGAUUUUUCCCCUCCAAUCCUUAACUUGCUCAUGACUUGAGCACAUUAAUAUUUCCACCAUCUAACUUGAUGCAAAAAAAUAUUUACAGUUUGCUCUUUAGCUAGGGACUGUUUUGUUAGGUAGAACAAGUUUGCUAUUUAUGGAAGCAAAUGCAAUAAUAUUUUUAUGGAAAUAAAAAAAUAAAUAGAAAAAAUUAUUAUUUAUCUUAAUAAUUUAUCAAAAUUAGCUAUUUAAACUUUUUAUUUUGAAAAAUAUACUAU
RNAcentral lists this unclassified non-coding RNA (447 nucleotides) under Hevea brasiliensis (rubber tree). The record is from RNAcentral. Lineage: Eukaryota; Viridiplantae; Streptophyta; Magnoliopsida; Malpighiales; Euphorbiaceae.